UGGAGUGGUGUCCGAGCGGCUGAAGGAGCACGCUUGGAAAGCGUGUGUACGGGAAACUGUACCGCGGGUUCGAAUCCCGCCCACUCCGG
Molecule: transfer RNA, 89 nt
Filed under: Phycisphaerae bacterium RAS1
Lineage: Bacteria; Pseudomonadati; Planctomycetota; Phycisphaerae
Description: tRNA-Ser
Rfam family: tRNA
About the family: Transfer RNA (tRNA) molecules are approximately 80 nucleotides in length. Their secondary structure includes four short double-helical elements and three loops (D, anti-codon, and T loops).
Source: RNAcentral